RNAcentral lists this ribosomal RNA (326 nucleotides) under uncultured eukaryote. RNAcentral describes it as "LSU rRNA". It matches the Rfam family "Bacterial large subunit ribosomal RNA", at positions 2154 to 2479 of the family's 2925-position model. The record is from RNAcentral.
GCGUUGAAAGUUUUCUUGCGGGAAGAUUUGAGCCAUUGGUGAGAUACCACUCUAACAAUGCUAGGAUUCUAACCCUAUGUCGUUAUCCGGCUAGGGGACAGUUUCAGGUGGUCAGUUUGACUGGGGCGGUCGCCUCCUAAAAGGUAACGGAGGCGUGCAAAGGUUCCCUCAGGCUGGUUGGAAAUCAGUCGUAGAGUGUAAAGGCAUAAGGGAGCUUGAUUGUGAGACCUACAAGUCGAACAAAGACGAAAGUCGGCCUUAGUGAUCCGGCGGUACCGAGUGGAAGGGCCGUCGCUCAACGGAUAAAAGUUACUCUAGGGAUAACA